This 75-nucleotide transfer RNA is filed under the name Bacteroidota bacterium. RNAcentral describes it as "Bacteroidetes bacterium (marine metagenome) tRNA-Met". It matches the Rfam family "tRNA". From Rfam's summary of the family: Transfer RNA (tRNA) molecules are approximately 80 nucleotides in length. Their secondary structure includes four short double-helical elements and three loops (D, anti-codon, and T loops). Further hydrogen bonds mediate the characteristic L-shaped molecular structure. tRNAs have two regions of fundamental functional importance: the anti-codon, which is responsible for specific mRNA codon recognition, and the 3' end, to which the tRNAs corresponding amino acid is attached (by aminoacyl-tRNA synthetases). tRNAs cope with the degeneracy of the genetic code in two manners: having more than one tRNA (with a specific anti-codon) for a particular amino acid; and 'wobble' base-pairing, i.e. permitting non-standard base-pairing at the 3rd anti-codon position. Lineage: Bacteria; Pseudomonadati; Bacteroidota. The record is from RNAcentral.
CGCGGGGUGGAGCAGUGGUAGCUUGUCGGGCUCAUAACCCGAAGGUCGCAGGUUCGAAUCCUGCCCCCGCCACUA